RNAcentral lists this long non-coding RNA (258 nucleotides) under Lathyrus oleraceus (garden pea). Its description in RNAcentral is "Pisum sativum (pea) long non-coding RNA (PSAT_LNC016988)". The record is from RNAcentral. Lineage: Eukaryota; Viridiplantae; Streptophyta; Magnoliopsida; Fabales; Fabaceae.
GAGUAAAAACAAAAGAAAGAAAACAAAUCAUAAUUAUUUGAGUGAUAUAAUCUUUUAUUUGUCAAAAUAUUGGUAGAUGGACUUGAGGUUAUAUAACUUUCUUUGUUACAAAUCUAUUGUUAGAUGAUUACUAAUCAUCUUCAAUACUUUGCAUCAAUGAUAAGUUAUCCAUUGAUGCGCCAUAUUUUCAGUUUUUUGACCUAUGGAUAGAUAAUCCUCAAAAUGUUCAUUUUGCACAUAUUACUAACCACUAAUUAU